AGAGUUUGAUCAUGGCUCAGGAUGAACGCUAGCGGCAGGCCUAAUACAUGCAAGUCGAGGGGCAGCACAGGUAGCAAUACCGGGUGGCGACCGGCAAACGGGUGCGGAACACGUACGCAACCUUCCUUCGAGUGGGGAAUAGCCCAGAGAAAUUUGGAUUAAUACCCCGUAAGAUCGUGGACUGGCAUCAGUCAGCGAUAAAAGCUCCGGCACUUGAAGAUGGGCGUGCGCCUGAUUAGGUAGUUGGUGAGGUAACGGCUCACCAAGCCGACGAUCAGUAACUGGCGUGAGAGCGCGACCAGUCACACGGGCACUGAGACACGGGCCUGACUCCUACGGGAGGCAGCAGUAAGGAAUAUUGGUCAAUGGACGCAAGUCUGAACCAGCCAUGCCGCGUGGAGGAUGAAGGUCCUCUGGAUUGUAAACUUCUUUUAUCUGGGAAGAAAUGUGGAUUUUCUAAUCUAUUUGACGGUACCAGAUGAAUAAGCACCGGCUAACUCCGUGCCAGCAGCCGCGGUAAUAC
RNAcentral lists this ribosomal RNA (523 nucleotides) under uncultured bacterium. RNAcentral's name for it is "bacterial SSU rRNA". It matches the Rfam family "Bacterial small subunit ribosomal RNA", at positions 8 to 526 of the family's 1533-position model. The record is from RNAcentral.